Molecule: ribosomal RNA, 447 nt
Filed under: uncultured bacterium
Lineage: Bacteria
Description: partial 16S ribosomal RNA
Rfam family: Bacterial small subunit ribosomal RNA
Source: RNAcentral
AACGAACGCUGGCGGCAGGCCUAAAACAUGCAAGUCGAACGAACCUUCGGGUUAGUGGCGCACAGGUGAGUAACGCGUGGGAAUGUGCCUCUGGGUGCGGAACAACGUCGGGAAACUGACGCUAAUACCGCAUAAUGUCUUCGGACCAAAGAUUUAUCGCCCAGAGAUCAGCCCGCGUUAGAUUAGGUAGUUGGGGGGGUAAUGGCCUACCAGGCCUACGAUCUAUAGCUGGUCUGAGAGGAUGAUCAGCCACACUGGAACUGAGACACGGUCCAGACUUCUACGGGAGGCAGCAGUUAGGAAUAUUGGACAAUGGGCGCAAGCCUGAUCCAGCCAUGCCGCGUGGGUGACGAAGGCCGUAGGGUUGUAAAGCACUUUCGUCCGCGAAGAUAAUGACAGUACCGGAAGAAGAAGCUCCGACUAAAUUCGUACCAGCCGCCGCCGUAA